Molecule: ribosomal RNA, 492 nt
Filed under: uncultured bacterium
Lineage: Bacteria
Description: bacterial SSU rRNA
Rfam family: Bacterial small subunit ribosomal RNA
Source: RNAcentral
AAAGGAAUUGACGGGGGCCCGCACAAGCGGAGGAGCAUGUGGUUUAAUUCGAUGAUACGCGAGGAACCUUACCUAGACUCAAAUGUUGAGUGACCGUUUCAGAAAUGGAACUUCUCUUCGGAGCACUUAGCAAGGUGCUGCAUGGUUGUCGUCAGCUCGUGCCGUGAGGUGUCAGGUUAAGUCCUAUAACGAGCGCAACCCCUGCACAUAGUUGCCAUCAUUCAGUUGGGGACUCUAUGUGGACUGCCGGCGCAAGCCGCGAGGAAGGUGGGGAUGACGUCAAAUCAGCACGGCCCUUACGUCUAGGGCGACACACGUGCUACAAUGGUCGGUACAGAGGGCAGCUACCCAGCGAUGGGGUGCGAAUCUCGAAAGCCGAUCUCAGUUCGGAUCGGAGUCUGCAACUCGACUCCGUGAAGUUGGAUUCGCUAGUAAUCGCGUAUCAGCCAUGACGCGGUGAAUACGUUCCCGGGCCUUGUACACACCGCCCGU